AGGGAAUCUUCCACAAUGGACGCAAGUCUGAUGGAGCAACGCCGCGUGAGUGAAGAAGGUUUUCGGACCGUAAAGCUCUGUUGUUGGUGAAGAAGGAUAGAGGUAGUAACUGGCCUUUAUUUGACGGUAAUCAACCAGAAAGUCACGGCUAACUACGUGCCAGCAGCCGCGGUAAUACGUAGGUGGCAAGCGUUGUCCGGAUUUAUUGGGCGUAAGGCGAGCGCAGGCGGAAGAAUAAGUCUGAUGUGAAAGCCCUCGGCUUAACCGAGGAAUUGCAUCGGAAACUGUUUUUCUUGAGUGCAGAAGAGGAGAGUAGAACUCCAUGUGUAGCGGUGGAAUGCGUAGAUAUAUGGAAGAAUACCAGUGGCGAAGGCGGCUUUCUGGUCUGCAACUGACGCUGAGGCUCGAAAGCAUGGGUAGCGAACAGGAUUAGAUACCCCUGGGUA
This 446-nucleotide ribosomal RNA is filed under the name uncultured bacterium. RNAcentral describes it as "partial 16S ribosomal RNA". It matches the Rfam family "Bacterial small subunit ribosomal RNA", at positions 356 to 792 of the family's 1533-position model. The record is from RNAcentral.